GCAAGAUUAAAACUCAAAGGAAUAGACGGGGACCCGCACAAGUGGUGGAGCAUGUGGUUUAAUUCGAAGAUACGCGAAGAACCUUACCUAGCCUUGACAUUGAUAGAAUCUUCCAGAGAUGGAGGAGUGCCUUUCGGGGAACUUGAAAACAGGUGCUGCACGGCUGUCGUCAGCUCGUGUCGUGAGAUGUUGGGUUAAGUCCCGCAACGAGCGCAACCCUCGUCAUUAGUUACUAACAGUUCGGCUGAGGACUCUAAUGAGACUGCCUUCGUAAGGAGGAGGAAGGUGAGGACGACGUCAAGUCAUCAUGGCCCUUACGGCUAGGGCGACACACGUGCUACAAUGGUUAGGACAAUGAGAAGCGAUACCGCGAGGUGGAGCAAAUCUAUAAACCUAAUCUCAGUUCGGAUUGUAGUCUGCAACUCGGCUACAUGAAGCUGGAAUCACUAGUAAUCGUAGAUCAGCCAUGCUACGGUGAAUACGUUCCCGGGUCUUGUACUCACCGCCCGUCACACCAUGGGAGUUGAUUUCACCCGAAGCGGGGAAGCUAAACUGGCUACCCUCCACGGUGGAAUUAGCGACUGGGGUGAAGUCGUAACAAGGUA
RNAcentral lists this ribosomal RNA (605 nucleotides) under uncultured bacterium. RNAcentral describes it as "bacterial SSU rRNA". It matches the Rfam family "Bacterial small subunit ribosomal RNA", at positions 888 to 1498 of the family's 1533-position model. The record is from RNAcentral.